GGUCCUGUAGCUCAGUGGUUAGAGCGAUGGUCUUAUGAGCCAUAGGCCGUGGGUUCGAUCUCCGCCGGGUCUA
RNAcentral lists this transfer RNA (73 nucleotides) under Perkinsus olseni. It matches the Rfam family "tRNA". Rfam says of the family: Transfer RNA (tRNA) molecules are approximately 80 nucleotides in length. Their secondary structure includes four short double-helical elements and three loops (D, anti-codon, and T loops). Further hydrogen bonds mediate the characteristic L-shaped molecular structure. tRNAs have two regions of fundamental functional importance: the anti-codon, which is responsible for specific mRNA codon recognition, and the 3' end, to which the tRNAs corresponding amino acid is attached (by aminoacyl-tRNA synthetases). tRNAs cope with the degeneracy of the genetic code in two manners: having more than one tRNA (with a specific anti-codon) for a particular amino acid; and 'wobble' base-pairing, i.e. permitting non-standard base-pairing at the 3rd anti-codon position. Lineage: Eukaryota; Perkinsozoa; Perkinsida; Perkinsidae. The record is from Rfam by way of RNAcentral.